Molecule: ribosomal RNA, 1264 nt
Filed under: Salmonella enterica subsp. enterica serovar Typhimurium
Lineage: Bacteria; Pseudomonadati; Pseudomonadota; Gammaproteobacteria; Enterobacterales; Enterobacteriaceae
Description: partial 23S ribosomal RNA
Rfam family: Bacterial large subunit ribosomal RNA
Source: RNAcentral
CCGAAUGGGGAAACCCAGUGUGAUUCGUCACACUAUCAUUAACUGAAUCCAUAGGUUAAUGAGGCGAACCGGGGGAACUGAAACAUCUAAGUACCCCGAGGAAAAGAAAUCAACCGAGAUUCCCCCAGUAGCGGCGAGCGAACGGGGAGGAGCCCAGAGCCUGAAUCAGCAUGUGUGUUAGUGGAAGCGUCUGGAAAGGCGCGCGAUACAGGGUGACAGCCCCGUACACAAAAGCGCAUGUGCUGUGAGCUCGAUGAGUAGGGCGGGACACGUGGUAUCCUGUCUGAAUAUGGGGGGACCAUCCUCCAAGGCUAAAUACUCCUGACUGACCGAUAGUGAACCAGUACCGUGAGGGAAAGGCGAAAAGAACCCCGGCGAGGGGAGUGAAAAAGAACCUGAAACCGUGUACGUACAAGCAGUGGGAGCNNGUGACUGCGUACCUUUUGUAUAAUGGGUCAGCGACUUAUAUUCUGUAGCAAGGUUAACCGUAUAGGGGAGCCGGAGGGAAACCGAGUCUUAAUUGGGCGUUAAGUUGCAGGGUAUAGACCCGAAACCCGGUGAUCUAGCCAUGGGCAGGUUGAAGGUUGGGUAACACUAACUGGAGGACCGAACCGACUAAUGUUGAAAAAUUAGCGGAUGACCUGUGGCUGGGGGUGAAAGGCCAAUCAAACCGGGAGAUAGCUGGUUCUCCCCGAAAGCUAUUUAGGUAGCGCCUCGUGAAUUCAUCUCCGGGGGUAGAGCACUGUUUCGGCUAGGGGGCCAUCCCGGCUUACCAACCCGAUGCAAACUGCGAAUACCGGAGAAUGUUAUCACGGGAGACACACGGCGGGUGCUAACGUCCGUCGUGAAGAGGGAAACAACCCAGACCGCCAGCUAAGGUCCCAAAGUCAUGGUUAAGUGGGAAACGAUGUGGGAAGGCCCAGACAGCCAGGAUGUUGGCUUAGAAGCAGCCAUCAUUUAAAGAAAGCGUAAUAGCUCACUGGUCGAGUCGGCCUGCGCGGAAGAUGUAACGGGGCUAAACCAUGCACCGAAGCUGCGGCAGCGAACGUAUCACCCAAGACAACUUUACGGAGUUGACGAUUGACGGAGCGAAGCGACGUCAAAGCGUUCAUUAAAGUCGAGUUGGCUUAGGGAUACGUUCGUUGGGUAGGGGAGCGUUCUGUAAGCCUGUGAAGGUGUGUCGUGAGGCAUCUUGUGGGUAUAAGAAGCGCGCACGCUGACAUAAGUAACGUUAAAGCGGGUGAAAAGCCGGCCCGCCGGAAGA